GGGUAGGACAGGGCGGGGCAGGGCGCAGGAGGACAGGGUGACCUGGGCAGCCUGACCUGGAAUAAUCGAACAGGGCCGAUCAUCUCUGGAGAGCCUGCUCAGACCUGCCCUCCCCACAAAGCACGCUGCAGAUGUCUGGGGUCAUCCGCCGCUUUGAGAAAUCUGAUGGCUUCACCCCUCUCGCUCCUGUCCCCGGGUCUCCCCCAGCUGCGGCUGAGACAUUCAAACCACAACCUCCCUCUUUGCCUGAUCUGAGGAGAGAAGCCCACGGGAUGUGUGAAUCUGCACUCCAUCGGCCUAGAGAAACAUCGUCUCUCCUUGGGUACAGGUGGUAGCCUCCCAGUUCCUGGGGUGGAGAAUGUUUGCUUUCUGUUAAUGAAAAGGAAUAAAUGUGAUAAUAAAUAAGCGCUCCA
Molecule: long non-coding RNA, 413 nt
Filed under: Meriones unguiculatus (Mongolian gerbil)
Lineage: Eukaryota; Metazoa; Chordata; Mammalia; Rodentia; Muridae
Description: lncRNA (ENSMUGG00000020355.1)
Source: RNAcentral